AAGGCGCUCCCGCCCAGGUCUACUGGUCAGAACCCCCAGGGCACAGCCUCAUGUCCUAGGUCAGAACCCCCAGGGCACAGCCUCAUGUCCUAGGUCAGAACCCCCAGGGCACAGCCUCAUGUCCUAGGUCAGAACCCCCAGGGCACAGCCUCAUGUCCUAGGUCAGAACCCCCAGGGCACAGCCUCAUGUCCUAGGUCAGAACCCCCAGGGCACAGCCUCAUGUCCUAGGUCAGAACCCCCAGGGCACAGCCUCAUGUCCUAGGUCAGAACCCCCAGGGCACAGCCUCAUGUCCUAGGCCUCCUAGGAUUCAACCAGACCUCCAAACGAUCCUGAGGCACGUUAUCCAAAAAAAAGCAGCCACUUCAACUUACCCUCCUGAGAGAACAGGUAACACCACUCGGACAAAUGGAGGAUCAAACGGAAAGUUAUCCUAGA
Oryctolagus cuniculus (rabbit) is the source of this 437-nucleotide non-coding RNA. NCBI's taxonomy places the organism in Eukaryota, Metazoa, Chordata, Mammalia, Lagomorpha, Leporidae. The record is from RefSeq and is a predicted model, not a curated record.